ACGGGAGGCAGCAGUGGGGGAUAUUGCACAAUGGGGGAAACCCUGAUGCAGCGACGCCGCGUGAGUGAAGAAGUAUUUCGGUAUGUAAAGCUCUAUCAGCAGGGAAGAAAAUGACGGUACCUGACUAAGAAGCUCCGGCUAAAUACGUGCCAGCAGCCGCGGUAAUACGUAUGGAGCAAGCGUUAUCCGGAUUUACUGGGUGUAAAGGGAGCGUAGACGGCGAGGCAAGUCUGAUGUGAAAGCUAUGGGCUCAACCCAUAAACUGCAUUGGAAACUGUCUUGCUUGAGUGUCGGAGAGGUAAGCGGAAUUCCUAGUGUAGCGGUGAAAUGCGUAGAUAUUAGGAGGAACACCAGUGGCGAAGGCGGCUUACUGGACGAUAACUGACGUUGAGGCUCGAAAGCGUGGGGAGCAAACAGGAUUAGAUACCCUGGUA
RNAcentral lists this ribosomal RNA (434 nucleotides) under uncultured Lachnospiraceae bacterium. RNAcentral describes it as "bacterial SSU rRNA". It matches the Rfam family "Bacterial small subunit ribosomal RNA", at positions 341 to 792 of the family's 1533-position model. The record is from RNAcentral. Lineage: Bacteria; Bacillati; Bacillota; Clostridia; Lachnospirales; Lachnospiraceae.